Molecule: long non-coding RNA, 2927 nt
Filed under: Homo sapiens (human)
Lineage: Eukaryota; Metazoa; Chordata; Mammalia; Primates; Hominidae
Description: HSALNT0194748
Source: RNAcentral
UUUCGCUACUGUUUCCUUCUUUCAGUUUCAUUGAUUUUUCGCUACUGUUUCCUUCUUUCAGUUUCAUUGAUUUCUGCUCUUUACUAUUUGCUGCCUUCUGUUUGGUUCAGGUUUAUUUUGCUCUUUUUUUUUUUAAAGUUUCUUAAGGGAGGAGCUUAUAUUAAUAAUUUGAGGCUAGGCGCGGUGUCUCACGCCUGUAAUCCCAGCACUUUGGGAGGCUGAGGCAGGCAGAUCAUUUGAGGUGGGGAGUUAGAGACCAGCCUGGCCAACAUGGUAAAACUCCAUCUCUACUAAAAAUACAAAAAUGUGCCAGGCAUGGUGCUGCAUGCCUAUAAUCCCAGUUCCUCAGGAGGCUGAGGCAGGAGAAUCACUUGAACCUGGGAGGGGGAGGUUGCAGUGAGCCAAGAUCACAUCACUGCACUCCAGCCUGGGUGACAGAGCAAGACACCAUCUCAAAAAAUAAUGAUGAGAAUGAUUUGAGACCUUUCUUCUUUUCUAAGAACCUUCCCAACUGGAGAUGUGAAACGGUCAUUCUCCAUCCACUCACCUGGUUUCCUGCCACAGAGAUAGAAGGCUAGUCUGUCCGUUAGCUCAUACUGUAUUUCCACGAGGCGCUCUGCCAGCUCAUGGUGCCCUCCUUGCCUACCAAGAGAAAACAAAGUACCAUUUAUAUUGCUCACUAUUCACUGACUUUAAAAUGGAGUACAAAGACGUCUCCUGAGACACCUGAGCAGUUUAUCACACAAGACUUUUGAGAAUCAUCAACCUUCUUGUGGAUGAAAGAAGUUGGCUUGUGCUCCUAAAGAUAACAGUCUCAAACAGGUUUCAAGAUUCCCUGUUCUCACGCUCGAAUGGAGUUGCUGAAAAACGCAGAAACAAAAAAGGAAUCGUGGUUAGAGGUGUAAAGAAUGAUGUCCUAGGGCAGCUGAUAGACCAUUUUAAUAUAUGUUACAUCAGUAACGCAUAAUCUUUAUUUGUCUCGGUAAAGUGCAUGGACCAGUCUCUCCUUUGCCAGUCACAACUGUCCCUGGGCUGUAAGGUGGAGUGAGGCCACUUUACUGAUAAGGAAACUAGGGCUGUGAAGGCUGACUUGCCCAAAUGCAUGACUUAUCUAAGAAGUGGCACAACCAGAACCUGAGUGAGAGGCAGGACUGUGUGAAGAGGUGACUAUGCGUGGCUCUGACAUACGACAGACCUGAAUUUCAAACUAUACCCACUUCAAGCUGUGUGGCCUGGAGAAAGGGCUUUAAGCAAUCUGAACCUCACUUUCCUCAUCUCAAAAAUGUCAACAAUGGCCAGAUGCAGUGGCUCAUGCCUGUAAUCCCAGCACUUUGGGGGGCUGAGGUUGGAGGAUCACUUGAGCCCAGGGGUUUGAGACCAGCCUGGGCCACAUAGCAAGACUCUGGCUCUACAAAAAAUACAAAAAUUAGUUGGGUGUGGUGGCAUGCGCACCUGUAGUCCCAGCUACUAAGGAGGCUGAGGUGGGAAGAUCACCUGAGCCUGGGCAGUGGAGGCUGCAGUGAGCUGUGAUCAUGCCACUGCACUCCAGCCUUGGUGACAGAGCGAGACCCUGUCUCAAAAAAAAUAAAAAAUAAAAAAAAUUUUAAAAGGUGGCAUUUUUCUUUUUAGAAAGGGUCUCGCUUGCUCUGUCAUCCAGGCUGGAGUGCAGUGGAGUGAUCAUGGCUCACUGCAGCCUCAGUAUCCUGGGCUCAAGCAAUCCUUCCACCUCAGCCUCCCAAACAGCUGGGACUACAGGCGCCGGCCACCAUGCCCUGCUAACUUUUUAUUUUUCAAUACAGAUGAGGUCUCACUAUGUUGCCCAGGCUGAUCUCGAACUUACGAGCUGAAGUGAUCCUCCCACCUCGGCCUCCCAAAGUGUUGGGAUUACAGGCAUGAGCUACCGUGCCUGGCCCUAUUCACAGGGUUAUUAUAAGGAUUUAGUGAUAUAAUAAAGUGCUCAAAGAAUACAAAUGCUAUAAUAACAGUUAUUAUUAUUAGUUGUUACUGUAAUUAGGGCUUUAGGACUUCAAAUUCUACACUGUGUAAGCUACAGGAUCCUGCCUUAUACAAUACCCUCUCUACCACAUUAUUCUUGGCCUGUAUAAUAUGCUUUAAUAAAGUCUUUCAGGGUAGGAAAAGGCCCGUGAUAUACCGAAUUCUGUACUACUGCAGAAAAGCUCUUAUACAGUCAGAAGAUGAGCUGCCUUCCUUCAAAUCUAACCUAGAAUUGUCCAAGAUGCAGUAACCCUUAUCACAGGAAUGAAGAAAUCUACUCUAACAUCUAAGUUUAAUUUUUUAAAUAGUUUUUUUGUUUUUUAAACACAGGGUCUCGUUAUGUUGCCCAGGCAGGACUGAACUCCUUGGCUCAAGCAACCCUUCCACCUCAGCCUCCCAAGUAGCUAGUAUUACAGGGAUGUGCCACUGUGCCUAAUUUUUUAAAACUCUGGCAAGGAAAAAAAAACAAAAAACAAAAAACCCAACACAUACCAAGUCUUAUUAAUCAAUGGAAGUAGCUAGUAUAUGCAUUUCUAUGCAAAAUUUCAAAUUCUGAAUUCUUCAGCCAGAUUCUGCUGGGGAUUAAAAAAGGGGGGGGAAAAAAGGCCAGAUGUGGUGGCUCACGCCUGUAAUCCCAGCACUUUGGGAGGCCAAGGCAGGCAGACUGCUUAAGCCCAAGAAUUUGAGACCAGUAUGGACAACAUGGUGAAACCCCAUCUCUCCAAAAAGUCAAAAACUGGCCAGGCGCGGUGGCUCAUGCCUGUAAUCCCAGUACUUUGGGAGGCCGAGGCAGGCAGAUCACUUGAGGUCAGGAGUUCAAGACCAGCCUGGCCAACAUGGUGAAACCCUGUCUCUACUAAAAAUACAAAAAAAAUUAGCCGGGCAUGGUGGUGGGCACCUGUAAUCCAAGCUACUCAGGAGGCUGAGGCGGG